AAACUCAUAACACUUCAAUUCACCAACCUUCUCAACAUUCGUGAGUUACUCAUAACGGUCCCAAACCAACUCCAAACCACAUAAAACUAACUCCAAACCUCUUCAAACUAAUUCCAAACCAUUUUAACUAAUUCCAAGCCUCAUUUAACUAAUUCCAAGCCACAUCAAUUACUCAUAACGGUCCCAAACCAACUCCAAACCACAUAAAACUAACUCCAAACCUCUUCAAACUAAUUCCAAACCAUUUUAACUAAUUCCAAGCCUCAUUUAACUAAUUCCAA
RNAcentral lists this long non-coding RNA (281 nucleotides) under Lathyrus oleraceus (garden pea). RNAcentral describes it as "Pisum sativum (pea) long non-coding RNA (PSAT_LNC024548)". The record is from RNAcentral. Lineage: Eukaryota; Viridiplantae; Streptophyta; Magnoliopsida; Fabales; Fabaceae.